Molecule: long non-coding RNA, 2393 nt
Organism: Bubalus bubalis (water buffalo)
Lineage: Eukaryota; Metazoa; Chordata; Mammalia; Artiodactyla; Bovidae
Exons: 2
Source: RefSeq, a predicted model, not a curated record
ACUCACUCCAGUAUUCUUGCUGAUAAAAUCCCAUGGACAGAGGAGCCUGGUGGGCUACAGUGCAUGGGGUCACAAAGAAUCAGACACCGCUGAGCAACUGAGCAUAUACGCAUGCUGCUGCCGGCCUGGGCGGCCACACUUUGAGGACCACUCGUCAUCUAGGCUCCAGUUAAGAUCCCAGCUCCCUUCCUCCGCGUGGUUCCUCCAUCCAGAGCCCAGGAGGCUGGGAGGAUUUAGCAAUGCCUGUCCAGCCCUUUCUGGAUUCUCUACCUGAGACUGACUAAUUCACCAGCAGACUCUAGCCAAGUAUCAUAUCAUUGAGUUAAAUUGUAACUUGCUAUGUGGUACUUUUCUGGUUCAAUAAAGUGAAUUUAUAUGCCAACCAGCUUCUUCGUUUUUUAAUUAUUUUUCUCAUCCCCUUGAUAAUGUAGUGUAUUUGGAUGGGUUGCCCGGUCAUGAGAGUGAAUUAGUGGAAUCCCUCUUUAUAGGUUUUUGUUUGUUUGAGCUUUACAGAGGUGGUUUAAAUCACUGGAUGUCUGAAAUGCCUUCUCUGGCAAGUGCUUGGAUAAUGCUUCAUUAUAAGCAGGCUUAGCUGCUGAGACACAUAUAGAUUAGAACAAUUUGCCUCUCUGCUGAUGGAGAAACUGUGACAUUUUGGUGGCUCUGAUACAGAGCUGUUUUGUCAGAAUGGGAAAGCCUCUUACAUUUCUGUUCAGGUCUAAAUAAUUUAGCUUCCUGUGCCUGCAUGCUGGUAGGAACCUGGGGCAGGCAGCAACUAUGGUGGGGUCUGGAGGCUGGGAGGGAGCUGCUUGCUCACAGCAGGGUGACCAAUGCAACCUGCUUUGCCUUUGAGAAUCUGAUAGAAACUAUAAACAUGGAGGAAAAAUACAUAUGCAAUGACGUUAUGCAUAUGGGGUCAGGGACUUUGGCCCCCUGGUUAUGUUCACUCCAGGCUGUUUCAGGGCAUUCCAGGUAAUCCUAGAGUUACCCUAAUUCACCCAGGGAUGUUUAGAGACUGCAAAAACUUCUACUUUUGCUUUGAUGUUUUAAAGGAGGCUGCUGGGUAAAGGCAGAUCUAGCUAAAGGAGUGUCUUACUAAUGGUGGAAUUACAGGUCACCAAGAAGAGAUGGCUAUUUAACCUUGAUGAAAUUUAGGACACUGUUUUCUUUGCAGGAAUGGGGGUGGGAUCAGUGGGGAUAAGUAUCAGAAGAAAAGGGGGAAAAAGUCAUCAGUUGCCUAGCCUCUCUGCUUACCAUCAAGUCCAAUUAGUCCUCUUUCCAUUCAUCUCCCCGACAGGCAACACUAUAUGUUGUAUCCUUUAUAACAGAUGGAAACUUCUAGAAAGUUAACUACCUCCUUGGUUCUGCCUGGGAAAAUAAAAUGUUAUGUUUUCCAUAAACACAAGAUGAACAAAGCAUUCCAAGCCUGUUCCUGAAUUGGGUAUAUCAUCUUAAAGCGAAUUUGUCGCUUUUAGAAACCGUGAUCUCUGUGGCCUACAGACAAGGCAAUUUUCAAAUGAGGCAGGUCCUGGCAUCUGGGAAGACUAGCUGUUUCCUUUGUUGCUAGGGAAAUCAUUUCGAAAUGGAAAACACCCCGAGUCCCAACCCCCAACCAUCUCCAAAACAAUAUACAUUCUUUACAGUAAAAAAAUCAAAACAGCAGAACAAUAGACAACACAAAAUCCAACACAUUAUUGUACAUUGCGAAGGUUUUUUUCCCCAACUGAAGGGAUGAAAGGGCAUCAUAAUUUUGUUUUCAAAUGUGUUUAAGAACCUGUUAUUAAAACGGAAUUAAACUGGAGUCCCAGGGCAGCAGCUCUGAGACUACCGGGAGAUAAUCUUGAUAAUGCGAUUAGUGCCUGCUUGAAUGGGGCUGGGAGCGAAAGAGAAGGAUAGACGUGGAAGCUGGAGCUUUACUGAGCCACCGCCAGCAGCCGUGGCUGGAACACAGAUGCCUUAUUCUCCCUACGAUUGUGCGUUGGACCCUGCCAUCAGAGAGGUUGGAGGGCCUUAACGAUGGAAAAACUGAGGCACUGAGAAGCUGAGUGAGUCUUGAACCAAGGAGAAGGGAUGAUUCUCAACAUGAAAGUUCAGAGGCAGUGAGUAAAGGAUGAGAGGACGAGUCUCAUCUCUGUUGAUUCCAACUAGAAGAUCUCUCUAACCCUCCAUGGAUUGUCUGCUGAGGCCCCUGGAAUCUUUGACCAACUGAACAUUAUUACAGUUAAGAGCAGGGGCUGGCAAACUUUUUCUGUAAAGGUCUAGAUAAUAAAUAUUUUAGGCUUUGUGGGCUGUGUGAUGUCUAUUGCAACUCUGCAGCUCUAUUGUUGUAACAGGAAACCAGCCAUGGAGAAUAUGUAAAUGAAUGGGUUUAGCUGUGUUCCAAUAAAACUUUA